GAACUGCGAUAAGUAAUGUGAAUUGCAGAAUUCAGUGAAUCAUCGAGUCUUUGAACGCACAUUGCGCCCCCUGACAUUCCGGGGGGCAUGCCUGUCCGAGCGUCAUUGCUGCCCUUCAAGCCCGGCUUGUGUGUUGGGUCGUCGUCCCCUCCGGGGGACGGGCCCGAAAGGCAGCGGCGGCACCGCGUCCGGUCCUCGAGCGUAUGGGGCUUUGUCACCCGCUCGAUAAGGACCGGCCGGGCGCCAGCCGGCGUCUCCAACCUUUUUUUCUCAGGUUGACCUCGGAUCAGGUAGGGAUACCCGCUGAACUUAAGC
This 315-nucleotide unclassified non-coding RNA is filed under the name plant metagenome. Its description in RNAcentral is "partial contains 5.8S ribosomal RNA, internal transcribed spacer 2, and large subunit ribosomal RNA". The stretch from base 1 to 105 matches the Rfam family "5.8S ribosomal RNA", at positions 50 to 154 of the family's 154-position model. The record is from RNAcentral.